This is a non-coding RNA of Erythranthe guttata (spotted monkey flower), 669 nucleotides long. Lineage: Eukaryota; Viridiplantae; Streptophyta; Magnoliopsida; Lamiales; Phrymaceae. The record is from RefSeq and is a predicted model, not a curated record.
CUUCUUUCUCCCUCCUUCAGCGUUUUCUUUUCCUCUUUCUUCUUCAGCGUUUUCUUUUCUUUCUCUCUCAAAAUUCUCUCGUUCUCUUCUCUCUCUCAAAACUCUCGUUCUCUUCUCUCUCUCACCUCCCUUCACCACGCCGCUGGUCUGCUGCUCCCCACCGUGAUAUUUCGCUGCCGUCGCUCCGCCACCGUGCUAUUUCGCUGUCGUUGCUCCGCCACGGCCUUGUGCCGGCCGUCGUUGCUCCUCCCACCGCCAUCCACUUCAGCUUUUUAAGGAUGAUGAAGAAUCCGUGUUACGGAGAGAGAAAGAAAUAGAUAAAAUUAGUAUAGAAGGCAUUUCUUUUGAUGGAAAGGUUUAAUAGUUUUUGCCAUAGGUUGGUGUGAAUUCUUGUUUCGUUUAAAUAAUUUUUUUUACGAUCUUUGUCAUGAAUUUUUAUUUAUGAUUGGUUCUUUUUUUUCCAGUAAGAGCACGGGUAAUGCAAUUGCAGAAUAUUUUUCCAGAUCGGAACUUGGCUGUACUUGUUUCAGUGUAGGAGAGAUUUGCGUUAUCAAGUCAUAUAUAGUCACACGGGAUCGAACCGAGCCUGCUUUUAGUGUUCUAGUUUCGAUAGAUCGGAGUUGUCGGGUUGAAAAGUGAGAUUUGAAGCUAUAAAUUCAAAUUAUACUA